AACACAUGCAAGUCGAGGGGCAGCGGAGAUGUAGCUUGCUAUAUCUGCCGGCGACCGGCGCACGGGUGAGUAACAUGUAUGAAACCUGCCCGUAGCAGGAGGAUAAGCGGAAGAAAAUUCCGUCUAAUACUGCGUAAUAUCCUCUGGGGGCAUCCCCCGGGGGAUUAAAGGGAAGCGAUUCCGGCUACGGAUGGUCAUGCACCGCAUUAGCUAGUUGGCGGGGUAACGGCCCACCAAGGCGACGAUGCGUAGGGGUUCUGAGAGGAAGGUCCCCCACACUGGUACUGAGACACGGACCAGACUCCUACGGGAGGCAGCAGUGAGGAAUAUUGGUCAAUGGGCGCGAGCCUGAACCAGCCAAGUCGCGUGAGGGAAGACGGCCCUAUGGGUUGUAAACCUCUUUUGUCGGGGAGCAAAGGCGUCUACGCGUAGACGGAUGAGAGUACCCGGAGAAAAAGCAUCGGCUAACUCCGUGCCAGCAGCCGCGGUAAUACGGAGGAUGCGAGCGUUAUCCGGAUUUAUUGGGUUUAAAGGGGUGCGCAGGCGGAGAGAUAAGUCAGCGGUAAAAUUAGGAGGCUCAACCUCCACGAGCCGUUGAAACUGUUUUUCUAGAGUGAGCGAGAAGUAUGCGGAAUGCGUGGUGUAGCGGUGAAAUCCAUAGAUAU
RNAcentral lists this ribosomal RNA (665 nucleotides) under uncultured Bacteroidales bacterium. Its description in RNAcentral is "bacterial SSU rRNA". It matches the Rfam family "Bacterial small subunit ribosomal RNA", at positions 50 to 697 of the family's 1533-position model. The record is from RNAcentral. Lineage: Bacteria; Pseudomonadati; Bacteroidota; Bacteroidia; Bacteroidales.